RNAcentral lists this ribosomal RNA (253 nucleotides) under uncultured bacterium. Its description in RNAcentral is "partial 16S ribosomal RNA". It matches the Rfam family "Bacterial small subunit ribosomal RNA", at positions 524 to 776 of the family's 1533-position model. The record is from RNAcentral.
UACGUAGGGUGCAAGCGUUGUCCGGAAUCAUUGGGCGUAAAGAGCGCGCAGGCGGCUUGGCAAGUCGGGUGUGAAAUCCCGGGGCUCAACCCCGGGACUGCAUUCGAUACUGUCAGGCUAGGGGUAGGUAGGGGAGAUCGGAAUUCCUGGUGUAGCGGUGAAAUGCGCAGAUAUCAGGAGGAACACCGGUGGCGAAGGCGGAUCUCUGGGCCUUACCUGACGCUCAGGCGCGAAAGCUAGGGGAGCGAACAGG